RNAcentral lists this long non-coding RNA (214 nucleotides) under Elaeis guineensis (African oil palm). RNAcentral's name for it is "long non-coding RNA (EGUI_LNC050548)". The record is from RNAcentral. Lineage: Eukaryota; Viridiplantae; Streptophyta; Magnoliopsida; Arecales; Arecaceae.
GAAAAGGAGAAGUCUUAUGUGAUUCGUAAGACUGAGUUUAGAAAAAUCUCUGGUCAGAGUAAGUGUGAAUACUAGAAAAGAAUUUUUAUGAGAUUCACAAAUGAACUUGAGUCGAGCCAAUCUAACAUAUGACUGACGAUGGGGUUUGACGAGUUCUCCAUGACCUCCGUUAAGUCGGGACUCUAGAUAGAGGAGUUGUAUCACAUGAUAACUG